Molecule: long non-coding RNA, 201 nt
Filed under: Lathyrus oleraceus (garden pea)
Lineage: Eukaryota; Viridiplantae; Streptophyta; Magnoliopsida; Fabales; Fabaceae
Description: Pisum sativum (pea) long non-coding RNA (PSAT_LNC016095)
Source: RNAcentral
AACACCUGUAAUGCAAAAAUGACAUGAAUAUGAUGUGUGUGAUGCGUAUGCAGGUUAACUUUUCUUCUCUUUUUUUUUUUUUUUUUAUGCAUUUUUUUGAAAAAUAAACAUGCUAUGAUGCAAAUGAUGGAGCCAUGACUGGUCGGCUGAGUAUCACACGACACAGGAUCAAAACUUCGGCUUGAACUCUGGCGUCACAAA